CAAUACUGUUACUGUACUGUACUGUACAUGGUGUAGUUUACAGAAGUAUUGUUACUAUACUUUAUGUGGUGUAGUUUACAGCAGUACUGUUACCGUCCUGUAUGUGGUGUAGUUUACAGCAAUACUGUACUGUACGUGGUGUAGUUUACAGAAGUAUUGUUACUAUACUGUACGAGGUGCAGUGUACAGUACGUGGUGUAGUUUACAGCAAUGCUGUACUGUACAUGGUUUAGUUUACAGCAGUACAUUUACUGUACUGUAUGUGGUGUAGUUUACAGCUAGGCUAAUAGUGCUGUACUGUACGUGGUGUAGUUUACAGCUAGGCUAAUAGUGCUGUACUGUACAUAGAGGAGGAGGAGGAGAGGCUAAGAGGAGGAGGGGGAGAGGCUGAGAGGACAUGAGGCUGAGAGGACGAGAGGCUGAGAGGACAAGAGGCUGAGAGGGGGAGAGGCUGAGAGGAGGAGGGGGAGAGGCUGAGAAGAGGAGGAGGAGAGGCUGAGAAGAGGAGGAGGAGAGGCUGUAGUGGACCUGUAGGUUUUAACUCCAACCCUGUUCCUGGAGAGAUACCCUCCUGUAGGUUUUAACUCCAACCCUGUUCCUGGAGAGAUACCCUCCUGUAGAGGGUAAGAGGUUCAGGAAUCUAUUUUUAUGUUCCCCCAGCACCCGGUUUGUUAUUCUGCCCUGACCUACUUACAGGUCCACUGAGAG
This 708-nucleotide long non-coding RNA is filed under the name Salmo salar (Atlantic salmon). RNAcentral describes it as "lncRNA (ENSSSAG00000111974.1)". Lineage: Eukaryota; Metazoa; Chordata; Actinopteri; Salmoniformes; Salmonidae. The record is from RNAcentral.